Non-coding RNA from Megalobrama amblycephala (Wuchang bream), 664 nucleotides. Lineage: Eukaryota; Metazoa; Chordata; Actinopteri; Cypriniformes; Xenocyprididae. The record is from the annotation of a RefSeq genome assembly.
AGUAUUCAUGUCAAACUAUCAAGACCAAACUGAAUCUGAUUCGUAGAUAACUUGAAUGUUUUCACUGAUUGUUAUGGGUGGAGCUUUGAAGGAGCUCACAAAAAUCUCACAAUUCUGUCUGCAGUUUUCAUUUGUGCUUCAAGAUGAUGCUCCUGUGUAGUCUGCUUGUGUUUGCAGUGACACAAUAUACAUUUGCGCAGUCAAUAAGACCAUUGCAGAAUAAUGUUCAUGUCACUGAGGAGGAGCCGGUCACUCUCUCAUGCAAAUAUAAUGGCAGUGCAAACAGUCUGCAUUGGUAUCGACAAUAUCCUGGAUCCAGACCUGAAUUUGUGCUCCUCCUCAUGGAGUCACAAACGAAACAUAUAACAUAUGCAGUUCCCCGUAUUCCUGGAAUGGAUGGGAAAAUGAGUAUAAAGGAUAAACAAGUGGAUCUGGAGAUCUCCUCUGCUGCAGUAUCAGACUCUGCUCUGUAUUUCUGCGCCCUGGAGCCCACAGUCACAGGAAACACAAGAACACUGUACAAAAACCUCUAUUAAGAGAAACAACAUAUCUGUCUUUUGUCAUAGAUAUGUGAUUUAAGUUUGCAGAUUGAGCAGAUUAAAUUGAUUGAACUGAUUUCCAUAAAUAAGAAAAGAUUAAAAAUAGCUUUAGAAAUAAUGUACAA